This 497-nucleotide ribosomal RNA is filed under the name uncultured bacterium. RNAcentral's name for it is "partial 16S ribosomal RNA". It matches the Rfam family "Bacterial small subunit ribosomal RNA", at positions 28 to 507 of the family's 1533-position model. The record is from RNAcentral.
GAUGAACGCUGGCGGCGUGCCUAAUACAUGCAAGUCGAGCGAACAGAUGAGGAGCUUGCUCCUCUGACGUUAGCGGCGGACGGGUGAGUAACACGUGGAUAACCUACCUAUAAGACUGAUAUAACUUCGGGAAACCGGAGCUAAUCCCGGAUAAUCUAUUGAACCGCGUGGUUCGAUAGUGAAAGACGGUUUUGCUGGCACUUAUAGCUGCAUCUGCGCCGCAUGAGCUAGUUGGUGAGGUAACGGCUUACCAAGGCAAGGAUGCGUAGGCGACCUGAGAGGGGGAUCGGCCACACUGGAACUGAGACACGGUCCAGACUCCUACGGGAGGCAGCAGUAGGGAAUCUGCCGCAGUGGGCGAAAGCCUGACGGAGCAACGCGGCGUGAGUGAUGAAGGUCUUCGGAUCGUAAUACUCGGUUAUGAGGGAAGAACAAAUGUGUAAGUAACUAUGCACGUCUUGACGGUACCUAAUCAGAAAGCCACGGCUAACUACGUG